UGGGGAAUAUUGGACAAUGGGCGAAAGCCUGAUCCAGCCAUGCCGCGUGUGUGAAGAAGGUCUUCGGAUUGUAAAGCACUUUAAGUUGGGAGGAAGGGCAUUAACCUAAUACGUUAGUGUUUUGACGUUACCGACAGAAUAAGCACCGGCUAACUCUGUGCCAGCAGCCGCGGUAAUACAGAGGGUGCAAGCGUUAAUCGGAAUUACUGGGCGUAAAGCGCGCGUAGGUGGUUUGUUAAGUUGGAUGUGACAUCCCCGGGCUGAACCUGGGGACUGCAUUCAAAACUGACUGACUAGAGUAUGGUAGAGGGUGGUGGAAUUUCCUAUGUAGCUGUGAAAUGCGUAGAUAUAGGAAGGAACACAAGUGGCGAAGGCGACCACCUGGACUAAUACUGACACUGAGGUGCGAAAGCGUGGGGAGCAAACA
RNAcentral lists this ribosomal RNA (427 nucleotides) under uncultured bacterium. RNAcentral's name for it is "partial 16S ribosomal RNA". It matches the Rfam family "Bacterial small subunit ribosomal RNA", at positions 355 to 774 of the family's 1533-position model. The record is from RNAcentral.